Long non-coding RNA from Equus caballus (horse), 1642 nucleotides. Lineage: Eukaryota; Metazoa; Chordata; Mammalia; Perissodactyla; Equidae. The record is from Ensembl.
UAUUACACAUUUUCACCACUUCCGUCAACCAUAAGAUACAAUAAAAAUAAAUGUUUUAUUUAGUGCUUUAAAUUACAAAAUCUCUUAUCUCCAUCUCCCACUUACUGUUUUAACAGCCUUAUUGGUACUUAACAUGGCAGUUUUUCUACUUUACAAAAGAAGGCUGUCUGAAAUAUAACACCUGUUUGAAACUAAAACACAAGUUUCACAGUUGUUCUUGUGCCACGUUUAAAAAGCUUCCCAGGCUCCAGCAGUUAAACAUUUUGAAAAACAAAGCUUGGCUUAUAGUGCUUUUGUAUCAAGUGUCUGGUUUGUGUAUGCUUUGUAUUUGUAUGUUGUACUUAAACUGUUUUUUUUUUUAGGGAAUAUAACAUUUUAGAUACUAAGUUCAUAAUUCUCAAAUGUGUAGGACAGCUAAAAGUCAGAACCAGCUAAGAAUGAAUACAGUUUAUACUUAAUGUGUCAGUUGGACUUAAAUUAUCUUUACCUUUCUGGUGUAUCUUACAAAAAUUAGUUUUUAGUGAUAAAAGAGACUUUUAAUUUAGUCCUAUUUUUACAAAUGAGGAAAUUGAUAUCCAUCAAGAUAACUCAAAUUUAAGUACUUUAUUUUCCCAGAUGUGAUGAAAUUUGAUAUUUUCUUUUUCCCUUCAUUUUUUUCUUUUCUUUUUUUUGAUUGGCACCUGAGCUAACAGCUGUUGCCAAUCUUUUUUUUCCCCCCCUGCUUUUUCCUCCCCAAAUCCCCCCAGUACAUAGUUGUAUAUUUUCGUUGUGGCAUGUGGGACGCCGCCUCAGCGCAGCCUGAUGAGCCGUGCUAUGUCCACGCCCAGGAUCCGAACCAGCGAAACCCUGGCGGAGUGCGAGAACUUAACCACUGAGCCCCAUCUUUUUCCCUUCAUUUUCAUAUGAAUCCAGCCACUUAAUCAAUGCUUGCUUUAAAAGUUGUUAGUUUUUGUUUUCAAUACUUCGUGUAUCCUGUCUCUCUCCUGGGUGAUCAUUAACACAGAGUAGGCACCUAAUUUUUGGUUCCCAUUCUUACUGCCCUCCCCAUUUUUUCCACCCCUGUACUCUAUAGACUUCCCUCUUGAUCAACAACUUUGCACUUUCUGUGGUUAACGUAACAGUGUAUACCCUGCUACAAAUACAUGUGUAUCAAAGUGUUCUAAAUUUGUUAUCCUUAACUUCUGGGGACAAGAAUGAGUUUUAUUUAUCAAACUUUGGUAUUAUAGAAGCCCUCAGCCGCUUUAAAGAUGACCAGGGAUUAGCAUAGUUAAACUGAGAAGGAAAUUAAGACUUCGUUAAACUUUCUUCAAGCUACAGAGUAAACUGACCUUAAGUUGCACUUAAGUAGUACAUUACUUCCUGAUUCAUAGCUUUAGGCCUAAAUAGCCUUUUCUGAAAUUAAAAACAAAACGGAAAACAUUGAAAGUAGUAGGUUUAUGUCAGGAAAAUCAAAAUGAUCAUGAGACCUUAAUAGCUAUUACAUACCGCUAUUUCUGUGUAUCUCUGCCUUUUUUCUAUCAGCUAAAUGGACAUUAUCAAAUUAUGUUUAAGGAUAAGGACUAAACUCAGUUUAAUUGGAGGCCUAGAUCAAAGUGUAGUCAGUUUUUUUUUUUUUUUAAGAUUAAACUCUUUAAAUGUAUGG